This 301-nucleotide ribosomal RNA is filed under the name uncultured bacterium. RNAcentral describes it as "partial 16S ribosomal RNA". It matches the Rfam family "Bacterial small subunit ribosomal RNA", at positions 509 to 807 of the family's 1533-position model. The record is from RNAcentral.
CAGCCGCCGCGGGAAUACGUAGGUGGCAAGCGUUGUCCGGAAUUACUGGGCGUAAAGCGCGCGCAGGUGGUUUAAUAAGUCUGAUGUGAAAGCCCACGGCUCAACCGUGGAGGGUCAUUGGAAACUGUUAAACUUGAGUGCAGGAGAGAAAAGUGGAAUUCCUAGUGUAGCGGUGAAAUGCGUAGAGAUUAGGAGGAACACCAGUGGCGAAGGCGGCUUUUUGGCCUGUAACUGACACUGAGGCGCGAAAGCGUGGGGAGCAAACAGGAUUAGAUACCCGCGUAGUCCCUGUCUCUUAUAC